GACGAACGCUGGCGGCGUGCUUAACACAUGCAAGUCGAACGGUGAAGGGACCGGUUUUUGCUGGUUCUGGAUGAGUGGCGAACGGGUGAGUAACACGUGAGUAACCUGCCCCCUUCUUCUGGAUAACCGCAUGAAAGUGUGGCUAAUACGGGAUAUUCUGCGCCUGCUGCAUGGUGGGUGUGGGAAAGAUAUUGUUUCGGUGGGGGAUGGGCUCGCGGCCUAUCAGCUUGUUGGUGGGGUGAUGGCCUACCAAGGCGGUGACGGGUAGCCGGCCUGAGAGGGUGGACGGUCACACUGGGACUGAGACACGGCCCAGACUCCGACGGGAGGCAGCAGGGGGGAAUAUUGCACAAUGGGCGCAAGCCUGAUGCAGCGACGCCGCGGGAGGGAUGGAGGCCUGCGGGUUGUAAACCUCUUUCGCCAGUGAAGCAGGCCUGUCCCUUUUGUGGGUGGGUUGACGGUAGCUGGAUAAGAAGCGCCGGCUAACUACGUG
This 493-nucleotide ribosomal RNA is filed under the name uncultured bacterium. RNAcentral describes it as "partial 16S ribosomal RNA". It matches the Rfam family "Bacterial small subunit ribosomal RNA", at positions 28 to 507 of the family's 1533-position model. The record is from RNAcentral.